Molecule: non-coding RNA, 37 nt
Submitted as: unclassified sequences
Source: Rfam
CCCCCUAAGCCUCUUAACAAUGCUCAAACCUGGGGGU